AAGUCGUAACAAGGUUUCCGUAGGUGAACCUGCGGAAGGAUCAUUAACGAAUAUCUAUGGCGUUGGUUGUAGCUGGCUCCUAGGAGCAUUGUGCACGCCCGUCAUUCAUAUCAUCUUUCCACCUGUGAACCAUGUGUAGGCCUGGAUAACCCCUCGCUUUGGCAACAAAGCGGAUGCAAGGAUUGCUGCGUCGACAAGGCCGGCUCUCUUUGAAUUUCCAGGUUCUAUGUCUUUUACACACCCCAUUUGAAUGAUUUAGAAUGUAGUCAAUGGGCUUUCAUGCCUAUAAAAAACUAUACAACUUUCAGCAACGGAUCUCUUGGCUCUC
Molecule: unclassified non-coding RNA, 328 nt
Filed under: Candolleomyces candolleanus
Lineage: Eukaryota; Fungi; Basidiomycota; Agaricomycetes; Agaricales; Psathyrellaceae
Description: Psathyrella candolleana partial internal transcribed spacer region
Rfam family: Eukaryotic small subunit ribosomal RNA (bases 1-46)
Source: RNAcentral